UCCGUAGGGGUGACCUGCGGAAGGAUCAUUA
Molecule: ribosomal RNA, 31 nt
Filed under: Penicillium cellarum
Lineage: Eukaryota; Fungi; Ascomycota; Eurotiomycetes; Eurotiales; Aspergillaceae
Also listed under: 1 other name
Description: partial 18S ribosomal RNA
Source: RNAcentral